RNAcentral lists this small nuclear RNA (107 nucleotides) under Mus spretus (western wild mouse). The record is from RNAcentral. Lineage: Eukaryota; Metazoa; Chordata; Mammalia; Rodentia; Muridae.
GUGCUCACUUUGGCAGCACAUAUACUAAAAUUGGAACGAUACAGAGAAGAUUAACAUGGCCCCUGCACAAGGAUGACACGCAAAUUCGUGUAGCGUUCCAUAUUUUU